This 301-nucleotide ribosomal RNA is filed under the name uncultured bacterium. Its description in RNAcentral is "partial 16S ribosomal RNA". It matches the Rfam family "Bacterial small subunit ribosomal RNA", at positions 509 to 809 of the family's 1533-position model. The record is from RNAcentral.
CAGUCGCCGCGGGAAUACGUAGGGUGCAAGCGUUAAUCGGAAUUACUGGGCGUAAAGCGUGCGCAGGCGGUUCUAUAAGACAGAUGUGAAAUCCCCGGGCUCAACCUGGGAACUGCAUUUGUGACUGUAGAGCUGGAGUGCGGCAGAGGGGGAUGGAAUUCCGCGUGUAGCAGUGAAAUGCGUAGAUAUGCGGAGGAACGCCGAUGGCGCAGGCAAUCCCCUGGGCCUGCACUGACGCUGAGACGCGAAAGCUAGGGGAGCAAAUGGGAUUAGAUACCCCAGUAGUCCCUGUCUCUUAUAA